ACCACAUCAAUAUCAUUAACCCACAAUUUCUCUUUUAUGUGCUACAUGUGGUUUUGAUUAUGCACUCCUUGAAUACCAAUUACUAUUGGACUAGCCUUAUAACCCAUGCAAAUUACCGUUGCCAUUUGUAAACUCUCAAAAAUAAUUAAGUGAAGGACGAGAGUGCAAUUAUUUCUAUAAAAUAUGAGCGCCACCGUGCUCUGAAAAGAUAUAAGUGAAGUACUAGAGCAACUGCUUAGCUCAAAAGAUAUAAGUGAAGCACAUAUAGUAUUCUAUCAAAUCAUUGUGACAUGUGUCUCUCUAGAGUGGUUGUGUCCAGCAAAGAAUGAUUGUGGAAACCUAAAAAUAAAAACAACCUAAGAUACAUGACGCUCCAAGCAAAACUCAUGUCAUGUGAGGAAUAAAAAAUAUAGCUCCAAGUGACAUAUCGGUGGAUUGAGACGAAAGAGGAGAUGCUUUCCGUGGCAUCCCCAAGCUUAGACGCUUGACUCUUCCUAGAAUUUGACUUGGGGUGCCUUGGGAAUCCCCAAGCUUAGGCUCUUGCCACUCCUUAUUCCUUCAUCCAUCGUGAUAACACCCAAAAUUUGAAAACUUCAGCACACAAAAUUCAACAGAAAACUUGUGACAUCCGUUAGUAGGAUAGGCGAACCAUAAACAUUAGUUACGGUUAUAAAUUAAUCAAUAUUUUAUUAUUGCAUAAGGUAAUGUAUUGUGACUUCUCCAUGACUUAUACCCCCCCUACAUAAUCCAUAUCAUCAUCAAAACAAGCAAACUAUGCAAGCAAAAACAGAAUAUGUCUAAAAAACAAUCU
RNAcentral lists this long non-coding RNA (811 nucleotides) under Hordeum vulgare. Its description in RNAcentral is "long non-coding RNA (HVUL_LNC019664)". The record is from RNAcentral. Lineage: Eukaryota; Viridiplantae; Streptophyta; Magnoliopsida; Poales; Poaceae.